RNAcentral lists this ribosomal RNA (767 nucleotides) under uncultured Acaulospora. RNAcentral describes it as "SSU rRNA". It matches the Rfam family "Eukaryotic small subunit ribosomal RNA", at positions 342 to 1108 of the family's 1831-position model. The record is from RNAcentral. Lineage: Eukaryota; Fungi; Glomeromycota; Glomeromycetes; Diversisporales; Acaulosporaceae.
UACCAUGGUUUUAACGGGUAACGGGGAAUUAGGGUUCGAUUCCGGAGAGGGAGCCUGAGAAACGGCUACCACAUCCAAGGAAGGCAGCAGGCGCGCAAAUUACCCAAUCCCAACACGGGGAGGUAGUGACAAUAAAUAACAAUAUGGGGCUCUUACGAGUCUCGUAAUUGGAAUGAGUACAAUUUAAAUCUCUUAACGAGGAACAAUUGGAGGGCAAGUCUGGUGCCAGCAGCCGCGGUAAUUCCAGCUCCAAUAGCGUAUAUUAAAGUUGUUGCAGUUAAAAAGCUCGUAGUUGAAUUUCGGAAUCCAUCCAUCGGUCGGGCCUCACGGUCCGCACUGGUGUGAUGGAUUUCUACCUUCUGAAUAACCAGCAUGUCAUUAAUUUGGUGCGUUGGGGAAGCAGGACUGUUACCUUGAAAAAAUUAGAGUGCUUAAAGCAGGCUAGUGCCUGAAUACAUUAGCAUGGAAUAAUGAAAUAGGACGGCAUGGUUCUAUUUUGUUGGUUUCUAGGAUCACCGUAAUGAUUAAUAGGGAUAGUUGGGGGCAUUAGUAUUCAAUUGUCAGAGGUGAAAUUCUUGGAUUUAUUGAAGACUAACUUCUGCGAAAGCAUUUGCCAAGGAUGUUUUCAUUAAUCAAGAACGAAAGUUGGGGGAUCGAAGACGAUCAGAUACCGUCGUAGUCUUAACCAUAAACUAUGCCGACUAGGGAUCGGACGAUGUUAAUUUUUUAAUGACUCGUUCGGCGCCUUACGGGAAACCAAAGUGUUU